GCCUAGUUAGCUUAGUUGGUAGUGCGUCUGCCUUGUAAGCGCUAGGCCGUGGGUUCGAUUCCCUCCCGGGGCG
This 73-nucleotide transfer RNA is filed under the name Diaphorina citri (Asian citrus psyllid). It matches the Rfam family "tRNA". From Rfam's summary of the family: Transfer RNA (tRNA) molecules are approximately 80 nucleotides in length. Their secondary structure includes four short double-helical elements and three loops (D, anti-codon, and T loops). Lineage: Eukaryota; Metazoa; Arthropoda; Insecta; Hemiptera; Psyllidae. The record is from Rfam by way of RNAcentral.